This 84-nucleotide ribosomal RNA is filed under the name Escherichia coli. RNAcentral's name for it is "partial 16S ribosomal RNA". The stretch from base 1 to 72 matches the Rfam family "Bacterial small subunit ribosomal RNA", at positions 1462 to 1533 of the family's 1533-position model. The record is from RNAcentral. Lineage: Bacteria; Pseudomonadati; Pseudomonadota; Gammaproteobacteria; Enterobacterales; Enterobacteriaceae.
UUGUUAUUCAUGACUGGGGUGAAGUCGUAACAAGGUAACCGUAGGGGAACCUGCGGUUGGAUCACCUCCUUACCUUAAAGAAGC